CCUACGGGAGGCAGCAGUAGGGAAUCUUCCACAAUGGGCGAAAGCCUGAUGGAGCAACGCCGCGUGGGUGAAGAAGGUCUUCGGAUCGUAAAACCCUGUUGUUAGAGAAGAAAGUGCGUGAGAGUAACUGUUCACGUUUCGACGGUAUCUAACCAGAAAGCCACGGCUAACUACGUGCCCGCAGCCGCGGUAAUACGUAGGUGGCAAGCGUUUUCCGGAUUUAUUGGGCGUAAAGGGAACGCAGGCGGUCUUUUAAGUCUGAUGUGAAAGCCUUCGGCUUAACCGGAGUAGUGCAUUGGAAACUGGGAGACUUGAGUGCAGAAGAGGAGAGUGGAAUUCCAGGUGUAGCGGUGAAAUGCGUAGAUAUAUGGAAGAACACCAGUGGCGAAAGCGGCUCUCUGGUCUGUAACUGACGCUGAGGUUCGAAAGCGUGGGUAGCAAACAGGAUUAGAUACCCCAGUAGUC
This 465-nucleotide ribosomal RNA is filed under the name uncultured bacterium. RNAcentral's name for it is "partial 16S ribosomal RNA". It matches the Rfam family "Bacterial small subunit ribosomal RNA", at positions 338 to 795 of the family's 1533-position model. The record is from RNAcentral.